This 222-nucleotide long non-coding RNA is filed under the name Elaeis guineensis (African oil palm). Its description in RNAcentral is "long non-coding RNA (EGUI_LNC004250)". Lineage: Eukaryota; Viridiplantae; Streptophyta; Magnoliopsida; Arecales; Arecaceae. The record is from RNAcentral.
GAGGAAAGGACACUUUGCUCGAGAUUAUCCUGAGCUGAAUAAAGUAACUGCCUUUCCUAACUCUCCUUGUGUUUUAGUAUGCUCACAUGCAUUAGUUGCAUACUUACGUCCGGAGUGGAUUGUUGAUACAGAUACGUGGCACCUAAGUGCCGACAAAGAGGGAUUCAUGGAUUGCCACCGGAUGCCUAUGGGGACAUAGCGUGUCAUGCUAGGAAAUGGCAC